GAAACCCUUCAAAGCCUUCUCAGGCUCAUUGCCUACACCUGUCCACUAGGAGAGCCGGGUAGCCGGGUCUCUCCCUCACAGAGGCUGUACCUGCUAACUCCUCCUGCUGUUACUGAUGCUUGCUGAUGCUGUUUCUGUUGCUGCUACUGCUUACCCUUCACUUCACUGCCCUCCCAUUCACCCGGACUGAACAACUUCUCCGUCUCCGUCUUCCUUGGCUUGGCGCUCCCAUCCAUCACACGGAAUCAGGCAGUCACCGAGUCCUGUUUGAUUCUGAACAACAUCUUGUGUCAACUAGAGAAAACACAGAACUAUUAAAUAGUCAAAAUCACUCUUUAAUCAAGGGAAAAGGGGUUCGCGCUACUAAUGCAACAACAGAGCUGAUUUCCAAGACUGCACAGAGUCAAGACGCCCUGGUCACCAGCCCCUGGGAGUGCCACCGACUCAGGAUGGACUCCGAGGAACAAAAGAACUUGGGGAACCUAUAUGCCACUCUAGAUGACCUGGGGGGUUUAGGAUUAGAGGGACAGUUGAUUGACUUUACAAUGACGACUGCACCUCAGAGCUCUUUCAGCCUUCUCCCAGACAGAGGAAGUUACUUUUCGCUGGCAUCAGUCUUUGACCCGUGUGUCUAUGUAGUCACACUCUCCUCAACAAAUUCCGAGUGUGGCCUUGGGAGAUUUCUGACUGGAUCAUAA
This 698-nucleotide long non-coding RNA is filed under the name Monodelphis domestica (gray short-tailed opossum). Its description in RNAcentral is "lncRNA (ENSMODG00000038025.1)". Lineage: Eukaryota; Metazoa; Chordata; Mammalia; Didelphimorphia; Didelphidae. The record is from RNAcentral.